AUGGCCCGCCGCUGCGGCUGCUCCGUCGGCGCCACGCUCCUCGCCCUCUCCCUCGCCGUCCUCCUCGCCGCCUCGGCGGUCCCCGGGGCCGCCGGGUUCCACCUCGGCGGCGACGAGAGCGGCCUCGUGCGGGGCAUGCUCGCCGCCGUCCGCGAGCGGGCCGAGGCCGAGGACGCUGCGCGCUUCGCCGUCGCCGAGCACAACAGGAAGCAGGGUUCUGCAUUGGAGUUCACACGGGUUGUGAACGCGAAAAGGCAAGUGGUUGCUGGGACCUUGCAUGACCUGAUGGUGGAGGUAGUGGAUUCUGGAAAGAAAAGUAUGUACAAGGCAAAGGUAUGGGUGAAGCCAUGGCAAAAUUUCAAGGCAGUUGUCGAGUUUCGUCAUGCUGGGGACUUCCAGUAUGAGUCUUCUGUUGCUUCUGAUGUUAGCACUGGGCAAGGCACACACGGUGUGAAGGUUCCUUCCAUGGAGUAUGGAACUGGAAGGCGUGAAGGUCGGAACAUGGGGUUCUGA
This 513-nucleotide ribosomal RNA is filed under the name Triticum aestivum (bread wheat). RNAcentral's name for it is "partial small subunit ribosomal RNA". The record is from RNAcentral. Lineage: Eukaryota; Viridiplantae; Streptophyta; Magnoliopsida; Poales; Poaceae.